This 253-nucleotide ribosomal RNA is filed under the name uncultured bacterium. RNAcentral's name for it is "partial 16S ribosomal RNA". It matches the Rfam family "Bacterial small subunit ribosomal RNA", at positions 524 to 776 of the family's 1533-position model. The record is from RNAcentral.
UACGGGGGGGGCAAGCGUUGUUCGGAAUUACUGGGCGUAAAGGGCUCGUAGGUGGCCAACUAAGUCAUACGUGAAAUCCCUCGGCUUAACCGGGGAACUGCGCCUGAUACUGGUUGGCUUGAGUUUGGGAGAGGGACGCGGAAUUCCAGGUGUAGCGGUGAAAUGCGUAGAUAUCUGGAGGAACACCGGUGGCGAAGGCGGCGUCCUGGACCAAUACUGACACUGAGGAACGAAAGCCAGGGGAGCAAACGGG